This 262-nucleotide ribosomal RNA is filed under the name uncultured Rhodoferax sp. RNAcentral's name for it is "partial 16S ribosomal RNA". It matches the Rfam family "Bacterial small subunit ribosomal RNA", at positions 1118 to 1382 of the family's 1533-position model. The record is from RNAcentral. Lineage: Bacteria; Pseudomonadati; Pseudomonadota; Betaproteobacteria; Burkholderiales; Comamonadaceae.
CCAGCAUUCAGUUGGGCGACUUAAUGAGACUGCCGGUGACAAGCCGGAGGAAGUGGGGAUGACGUCAAGUCCUCAUGGCCCUUAUAGGUGGGGCUACACACGUCAUACAAUGGCUGGUACAAAGGGUUGCCAACCCGCGAGGGGGAGCUAAUCCCAUAAAGCCAGUCGUAGUCCGGAUCGUAGUCUGCAACUCGACUACGUGAAGUCGGAAUCGCUAGUAAUCGUGGAUCAGAAUGUCACGGUGAAUACGUUCCCGGGUCUU